Felis catus (domestic cat) is the source of this 3203-nucleotide long non-coding RNA. RefSeq lists it as uncharacterized. The record is from RefSeq and is a predicted model, not a curated record. The transcript is spliced from 5 exons. NCBI's taxonomy places the organism in Eukaryota, Metazoa, Chordata, Mammalia, Carnivora, Felidae.
CAUGUCUUGGGAGCCCUUAUUGCCACCAUGUAAAAGUCUGGCUGCCCUGAUGGUGCCAUGCUGGAGAAAUCAUGAGGAGAGACCACACAGAGAAAGAUGCCCAAGGAGACUUGGCUGUCCCAUCCCCCCCCCCCACCAGCUGUUCAAGUCUUCUUUGCCUAGGACUUACACACAGGAGUCCAGAAGCCUUUAAGAUGCCCAGACACCAUCUGACUGCAACUUCACAUGAGAACCUGAGCCAGAACCACUCAACCAAGCUGCUACUGAAACUAUGAGAGAUGACAAGUGACUAUUAUUCCUGUAGCCAAUAAGUUUUGGAGUGUUGAAUCUAUGUUAGCAUCAACCAAUAACUAAUACAGAUUUCGGUACCUGUAAGUGGGGAGGGGUGGGGGAGGUGAUGCUGUAACAAAAAACUAAAAACACAGCAGUCGCUUUGAGGACAGAAGUUGGAAGCGUAUGGAAGAAACUGUGGAAUCUGAUGUUCUUCAAGGAGGCCACCUACAAGGGCUUAAAGGAAACCCACAGAUCAAGAGGAACUCUACAGGAAGAGCUGUAUUUGAGAAAUUCGUCUGGGGAGCCUCAUCUGAACCUGGACCUAAUUAGAUGACAAGGCCUAGGACUUCAAGUUGAUGCUGCAGCGUAAUGAGACUUGGGGACCUUGGAAAGAGCCGUACCUGACCAAUCAUCGCCUAAAAGAACAGAACAACCCACCACGCAGGACUGAUGCAAGACUGGUAACUGAAUACCUAUUACAUGCCACAUAGAGUCCUGUCAACAGCCCCGCAAAGUAAAUGCUACUGGCCCUCCUUUAUUGGUGAAACCCUGGGGAAACAGCAGCGAACCCAACGCGAUCUGUCCUCAAGCAGCAACACCCAUCCAAGCAGAGAAGACAAGCCAGAAGGGCUCUUGAUCACUUCUAUGGACAGUCAUGCUGUGAUGGAGCGAAAUCUCCUAUGCAGAGAAGUUAAAUGUGGUCUGGCCUGGCCCCGACCUCAUUGCGGUGACACUGGAGAACAUAGUCAGUGAAAAGAGGGAAGGUGGCCAUGAGAGAGCCUGGUCCACGACACAGGGCCAGAGGCCUUGUGAGAAACAAGAACCACAAAGACAGGAAACAGAGAAGAGAAGAGACCACAACACAGAACUUGGGGAAACAGUGAGCAACUGGAGGAAAAGUCACUCACCUGGCAAGGCCAAGGAGACUGGAUCCUAAAACUGACAUGGAGAGAGCUGAGAAUUAACACAAAAAUAAAAGGCACAAAAUUUAGCAGCAAUGAUACCAAUGGGGUUGAGGGUAAAGGAGGGUAAAAGUUAGAUUUGUUGCAAAUUAUUUAAGAAGCGAUUUGAACCUAAGUUCCCUUCCCCCAACUCUAUGCCCCCAGGUGACUGCCCUCCCUGUCCAGAGAGGACUAGAGGUUUAUUCUUUAGAGAGGACAACACAGAUGGUGUCUGGACUGAGGGACAACAGAACCAGAUGAAGGCCAGGGUACCAUGUUGAAUGAAGUGACCACAACAGACAGAAUGUUCAGGUUCUCGUCUUGCUUCCUGAACUGGGCUCCCAGAACAUCAGCAUCCAGGCCUUUUUUCCAGGCAGGAGAGUGAAAGGGCCGAUAAGAAGAAUCUAGCUGGUUCAAGGGGAAGGAUUUUUAAAAGUUACACUGGAGUUUUCCCCAACAAGUGGCACCACUAGAUUACCCUACAGAUGAGUUCCCAGUUGACAAGCACCAAUGAUAGCUUUUUAGAACCCCACUCCUCGGUGCAAAGAUAUGCAGGGAUCACCAGGCUCGUCUGAGAAGUUUCCAGCAUGAUGGACAGAGACCAAAAGUACAAGGGGCAGGGGAGCAACCUGAAGGAAAGAGAAUGUAGUUGAAGUAGGUAAUUAAAGUUCUGCCCCUCUCUAAAAGGUGGAGAAGAAUCUACAUAGCACAGUUUGGUCAUAUGAGAUAUGCCCUCCCUGAGCACGUCCUGUUCACCAUAAGUCACCAGAAAUUUGGGGACAGCUCUCCUGUCCAGCCACAGAGAGCCUGUAUCACCUCCUCUACUUGGGAAACAAUUCUGACCUUCUUGGCAAUGUCAUCUUCCAUAUGAAAAGUGUCAGCUAUAUGCCAAGUCACCACUGACUCUGCCUUAGGAUCAGGGUGCACGAGGGCACAACCAAUGGCUCGCCAUGCUAAGAAUAAAGGGUCAGCAAGCACGUGUCUCAGUAGGGCCGUCUAUUCUACCAUUGAGGAAGACAGGAAAGAAGAAAGGGAAAGAGGUAGGUUCAAAAUGGAGACAAUGAGGAACUCUCCCUCUGCCAACUGUUUAAUAUCAUACUUGGCUUUCCAUCACUCUUUGUUAUAGAUUUUCUGAAUCACAGCCCGCAGAGGAGGCACCCAGUCAGCCCUGAGAUUGUUUGUUGCACUUGCCCAUUGUAAAAACUACAUUUCAUAACCAAAAGAUGAGCUAAUAUUCUACUUCAAUAUCAGUAGUAAAAAGCAAAUAACUUUGGGCACGAGAACCAAGAUAUAUGAAGGGAAGUUUAAUGCUCCCAUAGAAAAGCAAAUAUUUGUACUUAUUAAUAUCCUGAAACCCAUGUUGCCAUGAAUAGUUCCUUCUCCUUUUAUCCCACGCUUUUGUCUAACACAGUGAUAUAUUGCCACCCUUUCAAAAUCCUGACACAGAUGACAUUGAAGCAAAUUAUGUACCUCAGCCAGAUUUCUCAGUUGAAAUGAAGAUAGCUGAUGUGUACAUUUUUCCAUCUAAUUAACAUUCCGCAGUUUGAAUAGCUGUUAUCAUGCCCUGGGUCCCAUAUGAAUGGGUGAAUAGAUAGAAAGAUCCAUAAACAGCUUGGCUUGCAUAGAAUGAGAUUUUUUCUCCAGACAAAGAGAAAAUGGAAUGAAUCAUUGUCAUCUGGAUGGUAGCAGCCAUCAGAGACUAACACAAGCACACCCUCCCCUGUGUUCAGAACACAAGUGUGUUGCUUAGCACCAGCAGCCAUCCCUGAAGGAUCUUUGUCCACUCCCAGGCUCUAUAUUUGGCCAUGUAACUUUUUUCACCCAGGUCUUUGUUUAUGCUGUGUGGUGGUUUCCAAAAAUUUGUCCCCAAUUUUUUUAUACUCUUUCACUCAACAGGUGUAGAUGAAUUCUCCUUUCUCUGUAUUUAGUGAUUCAAUUCCAAGAGAAUAUAGCAGAAUUGAUGUGUAUAACUUCUGAGACUAGGUAAAA